RNAcentral lists this long non-coding RNA (1377 nucleotides) under Durio zibethinus. RNAcentral describes it as "long non-coding RNA (DZIB_LNC000694)". Lineage: Eukaryota; Viridiplantae; Streptophyta; Magnoliopsida; Malvales; Malvaceae. The record is from RNAcentral.
CCUAAGCACUCUUAUUUGAUCUAAAAAAUCCAACCUAGAAACUGUAUCUCCCCCCAGAAAACCCUCCAUCUCUAAGCCCCUUUACCAGGUUGGGCAAGCUUGGAUGGAUGCCCCUACUCCCAACAAGUUGCUGGUCGGGAUCGUGAAACUAUCGCUCGAGAAGUAAGUAAGCUGGUCCUUGUCAUGGUGAGACUUUUGCUUGCUUCCUAGAGAAGGGGAAGGGGAGUGGUGGGUGCAGGCUUAGAGAAGGAAGUAGAAGCGUUCGAGUGAAUCUGAUGCUAUCCGCACCGAGGGAGCACAUGCUAGCCACACCUGUCCAAGACAAAAGAAUAUUUCCAGAGACACUUCACAGAAUUCCACCCGAUCCCAGAAAAGAUGUAACUUUGGAAGUUGGCCAAUAGUUUCAAAUCAGGUAUCAGAGCUUUGGUUCAAUGGCUCCUCGUCGUACAAAGGUUGUUUGGUAAACCUUAGCUAUGGUGAGAGAUCAAUGAGACAUCGAGAUGGAGGAAUUAAGAAACAAAGUGCAGCAGCUUUAUCAACGUUUGGAGCUCUAGAGCGCAAUCAACCACAUUGUGCCUCUGAAGAUGAAGAAUCAACAAAUGAAGAGGAUGAAUUAAUCCUUUCUAUCGUGCUAGAAGCGGUGCAUCGAGUGAUGAAGAAUUACCCCUAUCGUCAUGCUCGUCGAAACUGUGAUUUCUAGUGAAAUUAUGACAUUAAGGUAGAUGUUCAAUUAUUUCUAGGAAGAAUUAAACCGGAGGAGUUUAAUGAUUAGUUGAACAUUGUUGAGAGGAUUUUUUAUUACAAGGAUGUGUCAGAGUAUUUCGAGGUAAUGCUGGCUGCCAGUUAUUAAAAUAUUUUAAUAGUACAUAAUUAUUUUUAUUUAAUUAUAAUUUUAAAAUAUAUUUUUAAGUAUUAAACCAUUAAUAUAAUAUUUUAAUAUUUUAAUAGUAAAUUUAAAUGAAACGAGCUCAAACAGAUUUAAUUGAACUAAUUAAGUCGAGUCUUGAACAAAUCCUUAAAAUUGAUAAGCGAGCCUAGUCUAAUUCGAUUGAUACAUCUACUAGCAAGUUUCUAUUGGACGAAGUCACAUCAUUACUUUUUACUAACAGAGUAAAUCAUCGUAUCUACAAUCGUUCAACAAUUUCUUAAUUUAUGUACCAUAUAUUUUCAUUUUCAAAAUAUAAGAAUUAAUUUGCACAUUUGAUUAUUUUUAAAUAAUUUUUGUCGUUUAAGGCUUCAAUUUGCUUUAUAGAAAUUAAUUUUAAAAAAAUAAGUUUGAAAUUUUUGUAUUUGUUUUGAAAAAAAAUUGAUUGAUUUAUGAAAAUAACUUAUUAAUUAAUGAAAAUGUGAUUUUUUAAAAAAAUUAUUUUUUACUUU